Molecule: ribosomal RNA, 250 nt
Filed under: Stephanopyxis turris
Lineage: Eukaryota; Bacillariophyta; Melosirophyceae; Stephanopyxales; Stephanopyxidaceae
Description: partial Bacterial large subunit ribosomal RNA
Rfam family: Bacterial large subunit ribosomal RNA
Source: RNAcentral
GAACGUCGUGAGACAGUUCGGUCCAUAUCCGGUGUAGGCGUUAGAAUAUUGAGAGGAGCCUUCUUUAGUACGAGAGGACCAAGAAGGACACACCGCUGGUGUACCAGUUAUCGUGCCAACGGUAAACGCUGGGUAGCUAUGUGUGGAGUGGAUAACCGCUGAAAGCAUCUAAGUGGGAAGCCCACCUCAAGAUGAGUAUUCUCAUCACGUAAGUGAGUAAGGUCACGGUAAGACUAACCGUUUGAUAGGC